This is a long non-coding RNA of Salvia splendens (bonfire salvia), 1730 nucleotides long. RefSeq lists it as uncharacterized. The transcript is spliced from 2 exons. The record is from RefSeq and is a predicted model, not a curated record. NCBI's taxonomy places the organism in Eukaryota, Viridiplantae, Streptophyta, Magnoliopsida, Lamiales, Lamiaceae.
ACUAUUUUUUUUAUACUUAAAACAUCAUCCCUAACCUCAUUCUUGGGAGAAACUCACGGUCCAUUGGAGAGAAAGGAACCGUGAGGUUCAAUUUCUAAUCAUGUUCCCGAUUUUCGUCGUACUGAUCGUCUGAUCGCAUAAACCUUAAUAAAUCGAUAUAAGGCAUAGAAGCUUGUAACACGAAUCAUGCAAAAAUGAAUGGACCUAGAAGAUAGCGAAGGGUCGAAGUUGAAAUAGGCUUAUGUUCAUAAGCCUGCGAGGUAGCGUAUCCUCUCUAUGGUUUUCGAUUCCUUUAGUUGAGAUGAUGUGUGCUAUAACGUGAUUAUUUGUGCGAUGUUAAUUAAAUAAUGUGCUUAAAUAUGCUUAUAAUUUAAUAUGUGGAUUGUUAUGAUACUUAUUAAUUUUAAUAUGAAUGAUCUGCAGAAAUAAUGGUACGAAUAUGAAUAAAAGACAAUGGAUACGAUAUCCAGUGAAAUGUAAUAAAUUAUGAAGAUCUGAAUAAUGUGAAAUAUGUCUGAAUAGAUUAUGAAAAGAUAUCUGAAUGUAUAUGAAAAAGAAUGUCUGUGAAUUCUAUAAGAAUGAUUAUCUGAAGUGAUAUUUGGAAAUGGAAUAAAUGUGAAAAAGAGAUUUGAAAGAAGAAUAUGAAAUAACACGUCUCGUUUGCUUGGUCAUAUGUCUUGGGUACAAUUGGCAUGCCAUAGGACAGCAGCGCUGCAUUAUCUGUGAUCACUCAUCUUCUGGAUAACCGAAGCGAGGAUCGUCUGUUAUCUGAUGGGCCCCUAUCUGAUCUGUCUGAUCUGCACCCUAAUGGGUGGUCUGAUUAUCUGUCUGCACCCUCAUGGGUGGUCUGAUUUUCUGAUAUGCACGCUAUGGGUGGCCUUGCGGAGUCCUCUCGAGGACAAAAUCUGCGUCUGCUUCUGAUUCUGUUUCUGAUCUGGUCCGUGUACCCUGCCUGAAACCAAGCAGAUAUUGGGGCUAUAUGAUAAGAUAAAAUAAAAUAAUAUCUGAGGAUUUGUGAAUAAGAAUCUGUGAUCUGUGAUAUAUAAAAUAAUAUCUGAUGACUUCUGAAUAAGAAUCUGUGAUCUGUGAUAUAUAAAAUAAUAUCUGAUGACUUGUGAAUAAGGAUCUGUGAUAUGUGAUUUGUAAAAUAUGAUAUAUGAUAUGAUUGUUGAUCGGUCCUCACGCGGAGGAAAUGGUAUAUUAUGUUGAAUGGUCCCCGCUCGGGGUAAUUAACAUGGAAAAACAAAUAGUAUAUGAAAAUAAAUGGUAAAGGGAGAAAAAUAUGAUACGAAAUAAUAAUAUAUGAUGAAUAUGUGUGGUUAUCUGAACAAGUAUGCUUUGUUGUGAAGAUUAUGAGAUUGUAAGUAAUUUUGAAAAUCGGUGAAAUUAAAAUGAAAAUAAGUAAAAGAUUAAAAAGGAAAUAAUGUAGUUAUUAUAGUUACUAUUGUCUUAGCUGAGAGGGUUGGAUUUGUAGUUUGGAUAUUGCUACUGGGCUUUCGAGCUCACUCCCCCUCUUUUCCCCCUGCAGGUUAGAGUUGAUGUUAUGACAGUGGUGUUGCGCAGCUUUGCAUCUUUUGCAAGUCACUGGUGGUCAACUUGGUUUAGUAGUCGUGGCAUGUUGUGUAAUAGUUUAAUCUUUAAACUUCCGUUGGAUAAAUGUUAAGUUUUUAAAUGUAAUAGAUUUUAAUUGUGCUUUUAAGCUAAAAAGAAAAAGGAAAAUUUCAGCACAA